AGCGAACGCCGGCGGUAGGCCUAACACAUACAAGUCGAACGGCAGCACAGUAAGAGCUUGCUCUUACGGGUGGCGAGUGGCGGACGGGUGAGGAAUACAUCGGAAUCUACUUUUUCGUGGGGGAUAACGUAGGGAAACUUACGCUAAUACCGCAUACGCCCUACGGGUGAAAGCAGGGGAUCUUCUGACCUUGCGCGAUUGAAUGAGCCGAUGUCGGAUUAGCUAGUUGGCGGGGUAAAGGCCCACCAAGGCGCCGAUCCGUAGCUGGUCUGAGAGGAUGAUAAGCCACACGGGAAGUGAGACACGGUCCAGACUCCUGCGGGAGGCAGCAGUGGGGAAUAUUGGACAAUGGGGGCAAGCCUGAUCCAGCCAUACCGCGUGGGUGAAGAAGGCCUUCGGGUUGUAAAGCCCUUUUGUUGGGAAAGAAAGGCAGCAGGUUAAUACGCCGCUGUUCUGACGGUACCCAAAGAAUAAGCACCGGCUAACUUCGUG
This 492-nucleotide ribosomal RNA is filed under the name uncultured bacterium. Its description in RNAcentral is "partial 16S ribosomal RNA". It matches the Rfam family "Bacterial small subunit ribosomal RNA", at positions 29 to 507 of the family's 1533-position model. The record is from RNAcentral.